AUAAGCGCUGAAAGCAUCUAAGCGCGAAGCCUCCCUCAAAACGAGUAUUCCCUUGAGAGCCGUGGAAGACCACCACGUUGAUAGGCCGGAUGUGGAAGCGCAGCAAUGCGUGAAGCUGACCGGUACUAAUAGCUCGAUCGGCUUGAUCGUUCUCAUU
This 157-nucleotide ribosomal RNA is filed under the name Arsenicitalea aurantiaca. RNAcentral's name for it is "partial 23S ribosomal RNA". It matches the Rfam family "Bacterial large subunit ribosomal RNA", at positions 2764 to 2925 of the family's 2925-position model. The record is from RNAcentral. Lineage: Bacteria; Pseudomonadati; Pseudomonadota; Alphaproteobacteria; Hyphomicrobiales; Devosiaceae.